AGUGGCUAAGACUGGAUAGGAAGAUAAAAGGCAUCUUUUAUCUUUUAAAAGACCUAGUAAUAGGUAUGCUUUAGGAGGGGCUUGCGCCAUAUUAGUUAGUUGGUAGGGUAAUGGCCUACCAAGACGAUGAUGUGUAGCUGGACUGAGAGGUUGAACAGCCACAUUGGGACUGAGACACGGCCCAAACUCCUACGGGAGGCAGCAGUAGGGAAUUUUCGGCAAUGGAGGAAACUCUGACCGAGCAACGCCGCGUGAAUGACGAAGUACUUCGGUAUGUAAAGUUCUUUUAUCAAGGAAGAAAAGCAAAUGGCGAACCAUUUGUUUGCCGGUACUUGAUGAAUAAGCCCCGGCUAAUUAUGUGCCAGCAGCCGCGGUAAGACAUAAGGGGCAAGUGUUAUCCGGAAUUAUUGGGCGUAAAGGGUGCGUAGGCGGUCUAGUAAGUCAGUGGUGUAAUGGCAACGCUUAACGUUGUCCGGCUAUUGAAACUGCUAAACUUGAGUUAGAUAGAGGCGAGUGGAAUUCCAUGUGUAGCGGUAAAAUGCGUAAAUAUAUGGAGGAACACCAGAGGCGUAGGCGGCUCGCUGGGUCUUAACUGACGCUGAGGCACGAAAGCGUGGGGAGCAAACAGGAUUAGAUACCCUGGUAGUCCACGCCGUAAACGAUGAGUACUAAGUGUCGGGUUAAACCGGUACUGAAGUUAACACAUUAAGUACUCCGCCUGAGUAGUACGUACGCAAGUAUGAAACUUAAAGGAAUUGACGGGACUCCGCACAAGCGGUGGAUCAUGUUGUUUAAUUCGAAGAUACCCGAAAAACCUUACCAGGUCUUGACAUGUUUUUGCAAAAUGAUAGUAAUAUCGUGGAGGUUACCAGAAACACAGGUGGUGCAUGGUUGUCGUCAGCUCGUGUCGUGAGAUGUUAGGUUAAGUCCUAAAACGAGCGAAACCCUUAUCGUUAGUUGCCAGCACGUUAUGGUGGGGACUUUAACGAGACUGCCAAUGAUAAAUUGGAGGAAGGUGAGGAUCACGUCAAAUCAGCAUGCCCCUUAUGACCUGGGCUACAAACGUGAUACAAUGGCUGUUACAAAGGGUAGCUGAAACGCAAGUUCUUGGCCAAUCCCCAAAAACAGUCCCAGUCCGGAUUGAAGUCUGCAACUCGACUUCAUGAAGUUGGAAUCGCUAGUAAUCGCGAAUCAGCAUGUCGCGGUGAAUACGUUCUCGGGGUUUGUACACACCGCCCGUCAAACCACGAAAG
RNAcentral lists this ribosomal RNA (1253 nucleotides) under 'Mukaria splendida' phytoplasma. RNAcentral describes it as "bacterial SSU rRNA". It matches the Rfam family "Bacterial small subunit ribosomal RNA", at positions 158 to 1410 of the family's 1533-position model. The record is from RNAcentral. Lineage: Bacteria; Bacillati; Mycoplasmatota; Mollicutes; Acholeplasmatales; Acholeplasmataceae.